CGAAAUCAAACAAAUAAAAAGAAAAAUAAAGAUGAUGGAACCAAAUCCAACUCCCUUAGCAGGGUCCUUGUCGUUGCUUUUAAGUACAUGCAAAUGGGCAGCUACAUAUCAAACAUUCUCUUUAUUUCCUUUUAGACUCUGCUUACAUUGUAGACAAAAGUUGGAUAAUAUUUUUAAAAACAAUCAUGGUGUCAUUUGUCAUUCACAAUGAACCCAUUCUUCAAUUUCUUAUAAAUAUACGUGAAUCAUUUGAAAGUGUUUUAUUGUUUUUAGAUAAUCCCAGCUGUUGGCCAUUUAUUACUUUCUCAAAAUUUAUGCAUUAUUAUCAUGAUAAAAAUUACUAGAAAAUAAAAAGAAAAUAUGCUCUCAUCUUCUUCGAUUUCUACUGUGGACAAGAAUGGAGAAGGUGAUUCUCUUCCUGAGGAUUCUAACACAAGGAAUCGGACGUGAUUCCUGAAGAUGUGAUGGUUGUGGAGUCAUCAUCAACGCCUUCUUUGUCAUGGAAAGAUAUGCUAGUGGAGAAAGAUACUUUUGUGCAGAACAAUACAAGAUGGCCACUUCUUUGUUGAUAAUUUCUCCCUCACAGAGCAGGAAGUCAAGAAAUCGUUUGUUGAUGAUGUUCCCUCAAUCGACUUCUCGGAGAGAGUAUAUCAGCUCUUGGAAAAGGAAAUGUCAACCUCUGUGGUUCUCAAGAUGUUGGGACGGAACCUUGGAAUCACGACUCUGCAUAAUAGAUUAUAUGGGAUUUGGAGACCGUCUAAGCCUUUUCAAUUAAUGGAUAUAGAGAAUGGUUAUUUUAUCGCUAAAUUCCAAAGCACUGAUGACUAUGAUAAGAUUCUCUCCCAGGGUCCGUGGGUUAUAUUCGGCCAUUACCUAACCGUUCAACCUUGGACCAUCGAUUUUAAUCCUAGUUUACCUUACCCUAAUAUGAUCCUCACAUGGAUUUGAUUUCCCGGUCUUCCUAUUCAUUUAUAUAAAAACAAUUUCUAAUGGAGAUUGGGAGAAUGCUAGGCAAAGUAACUAAAUUAGAUUUUAACACGGAUAACAAAGCACGGGGUCGUUAUGCUCGCAUGGCAGUUUAUGUCAAUUUAGGAAGACCUUUAAUCUCUAAGAUUCUCAUCAAUGGCAACCCUCAAAGGAUUAAGUAUGAAAACCUACCUGUGGUAUGCUUUAAGGGUGAUUGUUAUGGACACAUCAAGGAGAAUUGUUCGUCUGUCACACAUUCCUUAGAGGCGAAAGAGAAGGGGCAGACGUCGGAACAAACCUCUACAACUUCUGUGGUGGCCGGAGAUGGGGAUUAUGGUCCCUAGAUGCUAGAUGCUGGUGGAGCAGAGGAGCAGGCGCGACACCUUGGAUGGGAUAAAAAAAAGGAAAUAAUUCUAAAUAGGAGAAAAUUAUGGGAUCACGAUUUCAAUCAUUAGCAGGCCUGGAGGAGAGUUCAACGGAGGAGGAAUUGAUUAAGGAAAAUCAUGGAGAUUUAAAGAAAAAAGGGAAAGCUACUUUAAAUGAUCCUUAAGAGAAAUAUUCAACGAGUAAAAAAUAUACUAUUAA
RNAcentral lists this long non-coding RNA (1551 nucleotides) under Gossypium barbadense (sea-island cotton). Its description in RNAcentral is "long non-coding RNA (GBAR_LNC011832)". The record is from RNAcentral. Lineage: Eukaryota; Viridiplantae; Streptophyta; Magnoliopsida; Malvales; Malvaceae.